AGGGUCAGAGAGGGAGUCCAGCGAAUGGGGAGAAGAGAGAGAGGAGACGGGCUAAUCGGAAUAGAGAAAGGAGGAAAGGAGAGAGGGCGAGAAGCGGAGGAGAGAAGGAAGAAAACGGGUUCCCCCAACCCACGACCCGUGUGCACCCAUUCCCAUUCCUUCAUAUUUUCCGGUGGUUUUCCACCGGAUUUCUCUCGAAAUUGGACUAAGAAACCAUUCCCAAUCAUUCCCUAGUCCUUUCCUCUUCCAUUCCCAACCUAAUUUUAUGGGAUUUGAGCUUGAAUUCGAGUAGA
RNAcentral lists this long non-coding RNA (293 nucleotides) under Malus domestica (apple). RNAcentral's name for it is "long non-coding RNA (MDOM_LNC004424)". The record is from RNAcentral. Lineage: Eukaryota; Viridiplantae; Streptophyta; Magnoliopsida; Rosales; Rosaceae.